Long non-coding RNA from Pristis pectinata (smalltooth sawfish), 3173 nucleotides. RefSeq lists it as uncharacterized. The record is from RefSeq and is a predicted model, not a curated record. Lineage: Eukaryota; Metazoa; Chordata; Chondrichthyes; Rhinopristiformes; Pristidae. The transcript is spliced from 3 exons.
UUUCUGUUUUCCAUUCUCUUCAGCUCAUGUGGCUCUCCGAAGCAGCAGACAUCUGUAGUGUGGCUAACGGAUAGGCAUAGCCUCCCAGCUUAAGCUCCCCCCUGGAUGUUCCACUGUACCUGACCCACAUGGAAGAAGGAAACAGAGAUGAUUCUCAGGAAACAUGGUGUGGUAGGAGGAUCGCUCACAUCCACCCUGUUCCCCAGCCAAGCCAACAGGCCACCUGACCAUCCCUGCACCUAAUGGAAAUGUGACCAGGCUUCCCAAGGGAGGCCAAGGUCUUCGCCAAGGUGGACUUCUCCUUUGCAUAUGUGCAAUUAAACGUGGAUAAAGAAAGCAAUCAUUACCCAAAAAAUCAACCCUACUAGAUCUUUAUACGUGUAUCAUGGACAAGAAAGAAGUCCAACACAGGCUGUGCACCAAGAUGAUGUUUCAAUCGCAAUGGCCACAGAGUAAAAUUUCUGAAUAAUUGAAGAGGUAUUCAAGAGAACUUCAUGAGCAUAACAUUAAGAACAAAAGUUUAAUUGCACCUAGGAGCAGAAAAAAAUGGUUUCUAUGGGCCCAAGGAUGGACAUAAAUGUUUCACAUCCAGUUAGGGAAGUUUGAGAUCAUUGUCAAGACCAGAAAACCCAAGAAUGUUCCCAGACUUUAGUCUUACCUUGGAAUGGUCCCAUGUUUUGAACCUCACAAAUGAUCUUAUUAUCAUUAUAUCAACUGCUGAAGAAGGAUGAAUGGGGAAAGGAACAAUCUCUGCUUCAGAAGUCUGAGUAGUAAGUCUCUCCUGGUGCACUAUAUUCCGAGCUCUGUCAUGACAAGAAACUACCAGGCAGACAGUGGAAAAGAUUCAAGGAUGUGCCUAAAGCCUCUUGAGAAAAUGUAAUAUCUCCACUGAUUCCUGAAAAUCUCUGGCCCAAGACUACUCAAAGUGGAGUAGGAGUAAGACUCAAAGUAAGACUCAGCAGUCAGCCUAGAUGAGUAUGUCACCACCAUUACUGACUUUAUCAGCCAGUGCGUUGAGGACUGUGUACCAAAGAGGACAAUACGGGUGUUCCCAAACUGGAAACCAUGGAUGAACCGGGAGAUCCACUCCCUACUGAAGUCUAGGACUGUGGUGUUCAAAUCAGGUGACUUUGACAUGUACAAGAAAUUGAGAUAUGAUCUCUGUAGAGCUAUCAGAGACACCAAGAGACAAUACCAGUCCAAAUUCGAGUCCCAGCCCAGCCGUCAGUUGUGGCAGGGCUUACAUGCUAUAACUGGCUACAAAACAAAGUCAGGCAGCAUAGUUAACAACAGCACAUCCCUUCCUGAUGAGCUCAAUGCAUUCCAUGCGUGUUUUGAAUGGGAGGGGAUUGGAAUGUCACCACCCAUCUCGACAGCCUCCAAAGCACCAGAACCCAUAGUCACUGUUGCAGAAGUAAAGUUAGUCUUCCGGAGAGUGAACCUGUAGAAAGCAUCUGGCCAGGAUGGUGUCCCUGGCCAUGUCCUUAGAUCCUGCACGGAUCAGCUGGCAGGGGUAUUCUCAGACAUUUUAAACCUCUCCCUGCUUCAAUCUGAGGUUCUCACCUGCUUUAAAAAGACCAUUAUCAUCCUGGUACCUCAGAAAAUAAAGGUAAUGUGCCUUAAUGUCUACCGCCCAGUGGAUCUAACAUCCACCAUCAUGAGAAGCUGGUCAUGGCACGUAUUAACUCCAGCCUCCCAGACCCACUGCAAUUCGCCUACCGCUGAAACAGGUCUACAGUGGACAUCAUCUCCCUGGUCCUGCACUCAUCUCUGGAGCAUCUGGGUGGUAAAGGCACCUAUGUUAGACUAUUGUUUAUUGACUACAGCUCCGCUAUAGUCUAUUGACUAUAAUUCCAAGCAAACUCAUCUCCAAACUCCUAGAUUUGGAAAUUAACACCUCCCUUUGCAACUGGAUCCUUGACUUCCCGACCAACAGACCGCAAUCAGUGAGGAUAGGCAGCAACACCUCCAGCAUGAUUAUUCUCAACACUGGUGCCCCACAAAGCUGUGUACUUAGCCCCCUACUCUACUCCCUACACACUCAUGACUGCAUGGCCAGAUUCUGCUUUAACUCCAUCUACAAUUUUGCAGAUGAUACUGUACCACCAUAGUGGGCCAUAUCUCAAAUAAUGAUGAGUUGAAGUAAAGGAAGGAGAUAGAGAGCCUAGUGACAUGGUGUCAUGACAACAACCUUUCCCUCAAUGUCAGCAAAACAAGAGAGCUGGUCAUUGACUUCAGGAAAGGGGACAGUGCACUGCUCCUGUUUACAUUAAUGAUGUUGAGGUCAAGAGGGUUGAGAGCUUCAAGUUCCUUGAAGGGAACAUCAUCAAUAGCCUAUCCUCGGCUAAACACAUAGAUGCCAUGACCAAGAAAGCUCACCAGCUUCACUACUUCCUCAGGAGGCUAAAGAAAUUUGGCAUGUCCACUUUGACCCUCACCAAUUUUUAUCGAUGAACCCUAGAAAGCAUCCUAUCCAGAUGCAUCAGGGAUUGGUAUGGCAACUGCUCUGUUUGUGACCACAAGAAACUGCAGAGAGUUGUGGACACAGCCCAGCACAUCACGAAACCAGCUUCCCCUCUACGCACUCUGUCUACAUUUCUCACUGGCUUGGUGAAGCAGCCAGCAUAGUCAAAGACCCUACACCACCCUAACAAUCUCUCUUCUUCUCCCCUUCUGUCAGGCAGAAAAAUCAAAAGCCUGAAAGCACAUACCGCCAUGCUCAAGCACAGUUUCUAUCCCACUGUUAUAAGACUAUUGAACAGUUCCCUCGUACAGUAAGAUGGACAAAAUCUACCUUGUUAUGACCUUGAACCUUACUGUCUACUUGCGCUGCACUUUCUCUGUAACUGUAACACUUUGGUCUGCAUUCUGCUAUUGCUUUACCUUGUACUACCUCAAUGCACUGUUGUAAUGAAUUGAUCUGUAUGAAUGGUAUGCAAGACAAGUUUUUCACUGUACCUCAGUACAUGUGACAAUAAUAAACCAAUUUGCCAAUUUAGGAACAGUUGGGAUGGUAUUGAGCAUCUCAUAUCCAUGCCAAGACUGCAGAUCACUGCCACCGAGAACACAAAUUCAUGUUGACUAUUAUGAGUAAAGUGUGGAUAACUCCUCGGCAUUGGUCAACAGCUAUUCAGAUUGAGGUAAAGGAUGUGGGGUCAUGCCCAACCAUGGAA